This 93-nucleotide transfer RNA is filed under the name Poecilia formosa (Amazon molly). It matches the Rfam family "tRNA". Rfam says of the family: Transfer RNA (tRNA) molecules are approximately 80 nucleotides in length. Their secondary structure includes four short double-helical elements and three loops (D, anti-codon, and T loops). Lineage: Eukaryota; Metazoa; Chordata; Actinopteri; Cyprinodontiformes; Poeciliidae. The record is from Rfam by way of RNAcentral.
GCUCCAGUGGCGCAAUCGGUUAGCGCGCGGUACUUAUAAGACAGUACACCUUGAGCAAUGCCGAGGUUGUGAGUUCGAGCCUCACCUGGAGCA